UACGUGAAACCGCUUAGGGGUUAAACCCGAUGAACCUGAAUAUCUGAAAUGAGAAAUUCAUCAGUGAGUAUAUUUUAUUUAUAAAGUAUGGUUGCUGUGCAAUUUUCUCAUAGUAAGACAUUGCAAUUUAUUAGUAAAUAUAUGGAUUUUUAAUCCUUAUAGUUUAUUGUAAGACAAUAUUUACAUGUUUAUGUGAUUUAGUUUACUGUAAUAGGUAAACGGUCAUAUAAUGUAUAUUGUUGUCUAAAUAAACAACUGAUAAAUUUAUAUAUGAAAACUAUGCUGUUUUAACAAAAUUUAUUUUGUUAGUUAUGUUGUUUUGCAAUUUAAUUAUUGUAUGCAAUGGUAUUAGCAUAUGUUUGAUUAGCAAUGCGAUAGAUUUGGGAUACCUUCGGGACCCGUCUUGAAACACGGACCAAGAAGUCUAACAUAUGUGCAAGUCAUUGGGUAACUUAUUGAAACCUAAAGGCAUAAUUAAUAUAACUAUAUUAUAAUGGGAUUAGAAGUGAAUUAUUAUAUGCAAAUAUAUUAUUCAUUUUUCCAUCCCGGGGCGUUCAUUUAACAUAGUUUAAGCAAUUAAACUCACUGUUAAAGGGCGUACCUUGAGCAUAUAUGCUAUGACCGA
RNAcentral lists this ribosomal RNA (625 nucleotides) under Paramanota furcillata. RNAcentral's name for it is "eukaryotic LSU rRNA". Lineage: Eukaryota; Metazoa; Arthropoda; Insecta; Diptera; Mycetophilidae. The record is from RNAcentral.